UAACACGUGGGUAACCUGCCUGUAAGACUGGGAUAACUCCGGGAAACCGGGGCUAAUACCGGAUGCUUGUUUGAACCGCAUGGUUCAAACAUAAAAGGUGGCUUCGGCUACCACUUACAGAUGGACCCGCGGCGCAUUAGCUAGUUGGUGAGGUAAUGGCUCACCAAGGCAACGAUGCGUAGCCGACCUGAGAGGGUGAUCGGCCACACUGGGACUGAGACACGGCCCAGACUCCUACGGGAGGCAGCAGUAGGGAAUCUUCCGCAAUGGACGAAAGUCUGACGGAGCAACGCCGCGUGAGUGAUGAAGGUUUUCGGAUCGUAAAGCUCUGUUGUUAGGGAAGAACAAGUACCGUUCGAAUAGGGCGGUACCUUGACGGUACCUAACCAGAAAGCCACGGCUAACUACGUGCCAGCAGCCGCGGUAAUACGUAGGUGGCAAGCGUUGUCCGGAAUUAUUGGGCGUAAAGGGCUCGCAGGCGGUUUCUUAAGUCUGAUGUGAAAGCCCCCGGCUCAACCGGGGAGGGUCAUUGGAAACUGGGGAACUUGAGUGCAGAAGAGGAGAGUGGAAUUCCACGUGUAGCGGUGAAAUGCGUAGAGAUGUGGAGGAACACCAGUGGCGAAGGCGACUCUCUGGUCUGUAACUGACGCUGAGGAGCGAAAGCGUGGGGAGCGAACAGGAUUAGAUACCCUGGUAGUCCACGCCGUAAACGAUGAGUGCUAAGUGUUAGGGGGUUUCCGCCCCUUAGUGCUGCAGCUAACGCAUUAAGCACUCCGCCUGGGGAGUACGGUCGCAAGACUGAAACUCAAAGGAAUUGACGGGGGCCCGCACAAGCGGUGGAGCAUGUGGUUUAAUUCGAAGCAACGCGAAGAACCUUACCAGGUCUUGACAUCCUCUGACAAUCCUAGAGAUAGGACGUCCCCUUCGGGGGCAGAGUGACAGGUGGUGCAUGGUUGUCGUCAGCUCGUGUCGUGAGAUGUUGGGUUAAGUCCCGCAACGAGCGCAACCCUUGAUCUUAGUUGCCAGCAUUCAGUUGGGCACUCUAAGGUGACUGCCGGUGACAAACCGGAGGAAGGUGGGGAUGACGUCAAAUCAUCAUGCCCCUUAUGACCUGGGCUACACACGUGCUACAAUGGACAGAACAAAGGGCAGCGAAACCGCGAGGUUAAGCCAAUCCCACAAAUCUGUUCUCAGUUCGGAUCGCAGUCUGCAACUCGACUGCGUGAAGCUGGAAUCGCUAGUAAUCGCGGAUCAGCAUGCCGCGGUGAAUACG
This 1273-nucleotide ribosomal RNA is filed under the name Bacillus spizizenii. RNAcentral describes it as "bacterial SSU rRNA". It matches the Rfam family "Bacterial small subunit ribosomal RNA", at positions 111 to 1370 of the family's 1533-position model. Lineage: Bacteria; Bacillati; Bacillota; Bacilli; Caryophanales; Bacillaceae. The record is from RNAcentral.